Vigna radiata var. radiata (mung bean) is the source of this 3781-nucleotide RNA transcript. It is a transcript of the gene named vacuolar protein sorting-associated protein 54, chloroplastic, with no coding region annotated. NCBI's taxonomy places the organism in Eukaryota, Viridiplantae, Streptophyta, Magnoliopsida, Fabales, Fabaceae. The transcript is spliced from 19 exons. The record is from RefSeq and is a predicted model, not a curated record.
UUCAGAAAUAAGAUUAGAUGUGGAAGGAGUGUAAUGUGUUGUUGGCUUACUCGCACAAUGGUGGUGCGAUUAAAUUUUUGAAGCCCCACUCACUUUUCUCCAGUGUUUGAUGGUUUCGGGUUGAAGAUCCCGAUCCCGAUCCCGCACGUUCUCCAUUUCCAAGCAACACAACAACACAACACAAAGCAACACUUUCCUUUCUCUUUCUCUCUCUCAGAUCCCCAAAAAACCCACACUCACCAUUCAAUCCAUCACAUUAGCGCAAAGGAAUCAUCACAAGACUUCAAUUGAAAUCGCAAUCGUAAUGUGAUGGAUUCCCCACCUUCCCAGCAAUCGUGGGGAAGGUCACCCACCUCCCUCUCUUCGUCUGCUUCUCUUUCCAAAUCAAAUUCCGAUUCCAUUCAAAGCCUCUCAUCGAUCCUCAAUAAUCCUCACGCCUCUGAUGCCGCAUCCUGGGGCGCCUGGUGGUCCUCCGCCACCGCAGUCGCCCCGCCCGAGUUUGCUCCCAUCGCUGUUGCCAAGGCUGCCUCCGAGGUUUCCCGAUCGGACUUCCACAACUACGUCGCCCCUAUCGCCGAAGCCUACCAUCGCUUCGAGGACAUCCGUAACCACUCCUCCAAGGAACAGAUCAACGACCUCGCCAAUGCUGCCGCCGCCUCCGGCCAGGGUGAGGCGCUCGUCGCCUGCCUCCGCGAGGUUCCCGCGCUCUACUUCAAGGAGGACUUCCGCCUCGAGGACGGAGCUACGUUCCGCGCCGCCUGCCCCUUCGCCAACGUUGCCGAGAACCUCGCGCUGCAGGAGAAGCUCUCGCACUACCUCGAUGUUGUGGAGCUCCAUCUCGUGAAGGAGAUCUCGCUCCGCUCGUCCUCGUUCUUCGAGGCGCAGGGGCAACUGCAGGACCUCGAUGCUAAGAUCCUCCACGGUUGCACGCAAAUUCGCCAUCUCAAGGACACCAUUCGCCUCCUCGACGCCGAUUUGGUCCACGACGCGCGCCAGAUUCAGGAGCUCAAUGGCACCAGGACAAACCUCUUGGCGCUCCUGCAGAAACUCCGGCUAAUAUUCUACGUCAACCAGGCCCUCUCAGCUCUCAAAUUGCUUGUUGCAUCUGCAGAUUGUGCUGGAGCGUUAGAUGUGACUGAUGAUUUGCAACAUUUACUGGAUGGAGAUGAGCUCAGUGGUCUACAUUGCUUUAGGCAUCUUAGAGAUCAUGUAAUAGGCUUUAUAGAAUCCAUAAACAGCAUUCUUUCAGCAGAGUUUAUUCGGGCUUCCUUACAAGAUGCUGCAGAAAAAGAUGGGAUAAUUUUAUCCAAAGCUAAAGCAAAAGCCUCCCUUCCAAUGAAUGGAAAGGAUGAUGAAGUAAAGUUGGAAGAAGAGGAAAGCAAUAAUUUCAAAGAUUGUCUGCUUCCUACAGUAAUUGGAUUGCUCAGAACUGCUAAACUUCCCUCUGUUCUGAGGACUUAUAGAGAUACACUGACUGCUGAUAUGAAGAGUGCUAUUAAGACUGCUGUUGCUGAGUUGCUUCCAGUUCUUGCUUCUCGAGGUUCAGAGUCAGAGUUCUUUUCUGGAGACAGAACUGUAGAUGCAGAUGGUGGAGGUGCAUCACUUGCUAGCAAGUUGAGGAGCCUAUCAUCUGACUGCUUUGUUCAUCUUUUGAGUGCUAUUUUCUUGAUAGUACAGGCACAUUUAGUGCGGGCUGCUGAAGUGAAAAAGGCCAUUGAAUGGAUUUUGAACAAUCGUGAUGGUCAUUAUGCUGCUGAUUCAGUUGUGGCAGCUAUUGCUCAUGGUGCUGCAGCUGCAGAAACAUCACAAGAAAGUGAGGUUCAUGGUACUACGUUUUUGCCAUAUUCGGCACAAAGAAGUGUUGCCAAGGGUUCUUCAUUUCAGGGAAAAUCAAUUGAUGCUGUGAACUCCUCCAACAUGUCAAAAAAUUUCAGAGCUGAUAUAUUGCGAGAAAACGCAGAAGCCGUCUUUGCAGCAUGUGAUGCGGCUCAUGGAAGAUGGGCAAAGCUUCUUGGGGUCCGUGCAGUUCUUCAUCCUAGGUUGAAAUUGCAGGAGUUUCUAGCCAUAUACAACAUUACCCAGGAGUUCAUUACAGCUACAGAAAAAAUUGGUGGGAGAUUGGGAUACAGCAUCCGUGGGACACUGCAAUCACAGGCCAAGGCUUUUGUUGAUUUUCAGCAUGAAUCACGGAUGUCAAAGAUUAAGGCAGUGCUUGACCAGGAAACCUGGGUGGAGAUAGAUGUUCCUGAUGAAUUUCAAUCCAUUGUCAAUGUGCUUUUUGCGUCUGAUAAUUUAACUUCUGAGAACUUUAAUGACAACGAGGAUGAUAAUUCAACCAGUUACAAUGGUGUGGUCACUAACCAUGAUUCUAUGCCAAUGGUAAACAGCAGUGCUGAACAUGAAAUUAUGCGGGCUAAUUCCAUUGAAGCAUCUAUGAAUAAUGAAAUAUCAGAUAAACCCAAAUCCCUUGAUGAUUCAGUGGAACCAAAUAAAGGUCACAGUAGGAUUACAUCAGCACAUAGUAACAAUACUGAGAAGGACCACAAAAAAUCUGCAUCUCAGGCUCUUAAUUACAAAGGUGUUGGUUAUCACAUGGUCAACUGUGGCUUAAUAUUGCUGAAGAUGUUGUCAGAGUACAUUGAUAUGAACAACCUUUUGCCAACACUUUCUUCGGAAGUUGUUCACCGUGUAGUAGAAAUAUUGAAGUUCUUCAACACGAGAACAUGCCAACUUGUUCUUGGGGCUGGUGCUAUGCAGGUGUCUGGUUUGAAGUCCAUCACAUCUAAGCACCUGGCAUUGGCAAGUCAAGUAAUUAGUUUCGUACAUGCUAUUAUUCCUGAGAUUCGGCAGAUUCUUUUUCUCAAAGUACCUGAGACAAGAAAAAUACUCUUGCUUUCUGAGAUUGAUCGGGUUGCCCAGGAUUAUAAAGUUCACAGAGAUGAAAUACAUAGUAAAUUAGUUCAAAUAAUGCGAGAAAGAUUACUAGUACAUCUACGUGGGUUGCCUCAAAUUGUUGAGAGUUGGAAUAGACCUGAGGAUGCAGAUCCUCAGCCUAGUCAAUUUGCCCGGUCCCUUACUAAGGAAGUUGGGUACCUCCAACGUGUUCUAUCUCGAACUUUGAAUGAAGAAGAUGUUCAAGCAAUUUUCGGGCAAGUGGUCAUUAUAUUUCACUCACAAAUUUCAGAAGCAUUUUCAAAAUUUGAUAUUAGCACUCCUCAAGCACAGAAUAGGUUAUAUCGAGAUGUCAAGCAUAUUCUCCAAUGCAUACGGUCAUUGCCAUUGGGUGAUUUGAGUAAAUCUGAUACCCCAAACUGGGGUCAGCUGGAUGAAUUCUUGGUGAAAAGAUUUGGAAAUGAUGCUGUUCAGUAAACUAUAUUGUAAAGUAGCAACUCAAUUGCUUCCGUGUGAAGGCUAACAUACUGUGGAAAAAAAGGGGGGUGAUUUAAACCUUCUUCACUCUGCAUUUUUGUGUAACACUAAAUUGAGGCCUUUGGUUGGUCUAUGGGUAUACAAGGUAAUGUAUCAUUUCUGAGCAUUGUGCAGCCGUGGUUGGUCAUUUAACAAGUUUUGUAGCAGUCGAUGUUGAUAUUCAGAAUUCUUGGUUUGUCUCCUUAAUUGUAAUGUUAAGUUGAAAUAGAUAUGAUUUAGUGAAUGAAUUAAGUUUUGCCCUCACCCCCAAUCUUUCCCGUCGCUUCUUCACCCAUUGAUAUGGAUGCAUCCAUAUAUGUACACAAUUCCAGAAAUCUAUAGCGAUAUUACCAAUUUCUGUCCUUUAUUUUGA